Non-coding RNA from Pelodiscus sinensis (Chinese soft-shelled turtle), 46 nucleotides. The record is from Rfam. Lineage: Eukaryota; Metazoa; Chordata; Testudines; Trionychidae.
ACUAAGGCCCUCUUCAGGGCCACCUAAUUUAGCACUGAGAAAGGGA